ACUACCCAUCAAAAAUUUAGACUCACUAGUGUAAAUAUAUCCACUAACUUCAGUCAGCUGUUCCAAACUAGAUUUUGCAAAAUAUUCCAUACUGUUUAAAGGUACUGUUUACACAUGAACUAAUGUAUUGUAAAAC
This is a long non-coding RNA of Haliotis rubra (blacklip abalone), 136 nucleotides long. RefSeq lists it as uncharacterized. The record is from RefSeq and is a predicted model, not a curated record. The transcript has 2 exons. NCBI's taxonomy places the organism in Eukaryota, Metazoa, Mollusca, Gastropoda, Lepetellida, Haliotidae.